This 445-nucleotide ribosomal RNA is filed under the name uncultured bacterium. RNAcentral describes it as "partial 16S ribosomal RNA". It matches the Rfam family "Bacterial small subunit ribosomal RNA", at positions 354 to 796 of the family's 1533-position model. The record is from RNAcentral.
GUGAGGAAUAUUGUGCAAUGGAGGCAACUCUGACGCAGCCAUGCCGCGUGCAGGAAGAAGGCGCUACGCGUUGUAAACUGCUUUUAACCGGGAAGAAACCCCAGGACGUGUCCUGGGUUGACGGUACCGGAGGAAUAAGCACCGGCUAACUUCGUGCCAGCAGCCGCGGUAAUACGAAGGGUGCAAGCGUUAUCCGGAUUCAUUGGGUUUAAAGGGUGCGUAGGCGGAGCGUUAAGUCAGUGGUGAAAUCCUGCAGCUUAACUGUAGACUUGCCAUUGAUACUGGCGCUCUUGAGUGCGCUUGAAGUGGGCGGAAUGUGCCGUGUAGCGGUGAAAUGCUUAGAUAUGGCACAGAACACCAAUUGCGAAGGCAGCUCACUAAGGCGAUACUGACGCUGAGGCACGAAAGCGUGGGGAUCGAACAGGAUUAGAUACCCUGGUAGUCC